RNAcentral lists this microRNA precursor (92 nucleotides) under Canis lupus familiaris (dog). RNAcentral describes it as "mir-8799 microRNA precursor family". It matches the Rfam family "mir-8799 microRNA precursor family". Lineage: Eukaryota; Metazoa; Chordata; Mammalia; Carnivora; Canidae. RNAcentral also lists the same sequence under 1 other name. The record is from Rfam by way of RNAcentral.
GGGGGGAAGGCCGGAUCCUGGGCUGUGUCCCCAGUGCCCUGUGCUCCUGGGCCUGCGCUGUUGGAUUCGCACUCCAGGCCUCGCAGCUCCUU